RNAcentral lists this ribosomal RNA (449 nucleotides) under uncultured bacterium. RNAcentral's name for it is "partial 16S ribosomal RNA". It matches the Rfam family "Bacterial small subunit ribosomal RNA", at positions 29 to 523 of the family's 1533-position model. The record is from RNAcentral.
AACGAACGCUGGCGGCAUGCCUAACACAUGCAAGUCGAACGAAGCCUUCGGGCUUAGUGGCGCACGGGUGCGUAACGCGUGGGAAUCUGCCCUUUGGUUCGGAAUAACAGUUGGAAACGACUGCUAAUACCGGAUGAUGACGAAAGUCCAAAGAUUUAUCGCCAGAGGAUGAGCCCGCGUAGGAUUAGCUAGUUGGUGUGGUAAAGGCGCACCAAGGCGACGAUCCUUAGCUGGUCUGAGAGGAUGAUCAGCCACACUGGGACUGAGACACGGCCCAGACUCCUACGGGAGGCAGCAGUGGGGAAUAUUGGACAAUGGGCGAAAGCCUGAUCCAGCAAUGCCGCGUGAGUGAUGAAGGCCUUAGGGUUGUAAAGCUCUUUUACCCGGGAUGAUAAUGACAGUACCGGGAGAAUAAGCUCCGGCUAACUCCGUGCCAGCAGCCGCCGCCG